GGGUAUGCUCAGUGGUUAGAGCGCGCGCUUAGCAUCCACGAGGUCCUGGGUUCAAUUCCUAGUAUCUCCA
This 70-nucleotide transfer RNA is filed under the name Camelus bactrianus (Bactrian camel). It matches the Rfam family "tRNA". From Rfam's summary of the family: Transfer RNA (tRNA) molecules are approximately 80 nucleotides in length. Their secondary structure includes four short double-helical elements and three loops (D, anti-codon, and T loops). Lineage: Eukaryota; Metazoa; Chordata; Mammalia; Artiodactyla; Camelidae. The record is from Rfam by way of RNAcentral. RNAcentral also lists the same sequence under 2 other names.